UCUUCGUAGGUGAACCUGCGGAGGGAUCAUUACAGAGUUCUCGCCCUCGCGGGUAGAUCUCCCACCCACUGUUAUCGUUACUGUGUUGCUUUGGCGGGCCGCCGGGCCCCGCUCGGCCGCCGGCUCCGGCUGGCGCGCGCCCGCCAGAGGCCCAGCAAACUCUGAGUGUUAGUGUCGUCUGAGUACUAUAUAAUAGUUAAAACUUUCAACAACGGAUCUCUUGGUUCUG
RNAcentral lists this unclassified non-coding RNA (229 nucleotides) under plant metagenome. Its description in RNAcentral is "partial contains small subunit ribosomal RNA, internal transcribed spacer 1, and 5.8S ribosomal RNA". The record is from RNAcentral.